RNAcentral lists this unclassified non-coding RNA (393 nucleotides) under Homarus americanus (American lobster). RNAcentral describes it as "uncharacterized LOC121854402, transcript variant X3". Lineage: Eukaryota; Metazoa; Arthropoda; Malacostraca; Decapoda; Nephropidae. The record is from RNAcentral.
UCCUCGUCUCAGGUGACCUUGUGACGUCAGCAGAGUAGGGGUGGGAGGUGCAGUGGUGUCCAGGCACAGGGUAGGUGAGGCUGAGAAGGCAGUUGUAGGUACGUCACUGCGCGCUUAGCACGUGGUGGUCUCGUCCUCCCGAGUCCAGCCACACACGCACACUCUCUCAAGGCUUUUAUCCUGUGGAUGUCAAAAUACCUCCAAUGGACACUGCUGACAACCAGCGCUCUUCCCUGUGAUUGUGAUGAUGAAGAACGAUUCGCCUCCUACUGUCACGAGGAACUGGAUCACUUCACAGCAAGACCCUGAACUCCUAUCAUCAACUACACAUGGUGUGUGUGUGUGUGUGUGUGUUGUGACUUGAUGCAUAUUAUUCAUACCCUCUAUGUUGCU